AUUGAACGCUGGCGGCAUGCCUUACACAUGCAAGUCGAACGGUAACGGGCCUUCGGGUGCCGACGAGUGGCGAACGGGUGAGUAAUACAUCGGAACGUGCCCGAUCGUGGGGGAUAACGAGGCGAAAGCGUUGCUAAUACCGCAUACGAUCUACGGAUGAAAGCAGGGGACCGCAAGGCCUUGCGCGGACGGAGCGGCCGAUGGCAGAUUAGGUAGUUGGUGGGAUAAAAGCUUACCAAGCCGACGAUCUGUAGCUGGUCUGAGAGGAUGAUCAGCCACACUGGGACUGAGACACGGCCCAGACUCCUACGGGAGGCAGCAGUGGGGAAUUUUGGACAAUGGGCGCAAGCCUGAUCCAGCCAUGCCGCGUGCAGGAUGAAGGCCUUCGGGUUGUAAACUGCUUUUGUACGGAACGAAAAGCCUUCUUUUAAUACAGGAGGGUCAUGACGGUACCGUAAGAAUAGGCACCGGCUAACUACGUG
Molecule: ribosomal RNA, 482 nt
Filed under: uncultured bacterium
Lineage: Bacteria
Description: partial 16S ribosomal RNA
Rfam family: Bacterial small subunit ribosomal RNA
Source: RNAcentral